Molecule: ribosomal RNA, 477 nt
Filed under: uncultured bacterium
Lineage: Bacteria
Description: partial 16S ribosomal RNA
Rfam family: Bacterial small subunit ribosomal RNA
Source: RNAcentral
AUUGAACGCUGGCGGCAUGCCUUACACAUGCAAGUCGAACGGUAACAGGUUAAGCUGACGAGUGGCGAACGGGUGAGUAAUGUAUCGGAACGUGCCCAGUCGUGGGGGAUAACUGCUCGAAAGAGCAGCUAAUACCGCAUACGACCUGAGGGUGAAAGCGGGGGAUCGCAAGACCUCGCGCGAUUGGAGCGGCCGAUAUCAGAUUAGGUAGUUGGUGAGGUAAAGGCUCACCAAGCCGACGAUCUGUAGCUGGUCUGAGAGGACGACCAGCCACACUGGGACUGAGACACGGCCCAGACUCCUACGGGAGGCAGCAGUGGGGAAUUUUGGACAAUGGGCGCAAGCCUGAUCCAGCCAUGCCGCGUGCGGGAAGAAGGCCUUCGGGUUGUAAACCGCUUUUGUCAGGGAAGAAAAGGUUCUGGCUAAUACCUGGGACUCAUGGCGGUACCUGAAGAAUAAGCACCGGCUAACUACGUG